AUUGAACGCUGGCGGCAUGCCUAACACAUGCAAGUCGAACGGUAACAGGUCCCGUAGCAGUACGGGAUGCUGACGAGUGGCGGACGGGUGAGUAAUGCGUAGGAAUUUACCUCAAAGCGGGGGAUAGCCCGGAGAAAUCCGGAUUAAUACCGCAUGUGCUCCACGGAGGAAAGCGGGCCUCUACUUGUAAGCUCGCACUUUGAGAUAAGCCUACGUCGGAUUAGCUAGUUGGUAGGGUAAAGGCCUACCAAGGCGGCGAUCCGUAGCUGGUUUGAGAGGAUGAUCAGCCACACUGGGACUGAGACACGGCCCAGACUCCUACGGGAGGCAGCAGUGGGGAAUAUUGGACAAUGGGCGAAAGCCUGAUCCAGCAAUGCCGCGUGUGUGAAGAAGGCCUGCGGGUUGUAAAGCACUUUUAUCAGGAAAGAAAAUCUCGGGGCUAAUAUCCCCGGGCCUUGACGGUACCUGAUGAAUAAGCACCGGCUAACUCCGUGCCAGCCGCCGCGGUAA
Molecule: ribosomal RNA, 510 nt
Filed under: uncultured bacterium
Lineage: Bacteria
Description: partial 16S ribosomal RNA
Rfam family: Bacterial small subunit ribosomal RNA
Source: RNAcentral